GGGGUUGUGGCUCAGCGGUAGAGCAUUCACUUAGCAUGUGCGAGGUGGCUGGGUUCAAUCCUCAGCACCACA
RNAcentral lists this transfer RNA (72 nucleotides) under Marmota monax (woodchuck). Its description in RNAcentral is "tRNA.Ala". Lineage: Eukaryota; Metazoa; Chordata; Mammalia; Rodentia; Sciuridae. The record is from RNAcentral.